GAAGGAUGUAGAGAGGGAUGCUGAACUGCAUUCUCUUAAUAUCUUCUUCUUGAGCCGUAAUUUUCACGGGGAUCAAAUUGAUGUUAAGUAGGGAGAUUGGAUAUGUAAAAGGUCCACCAUGCAAGGAUUUUGGAUGUCAAGUGGAUGGUCACCCAAAGAAUGAUUGUCUAUGAUGAACAGUAACACGAUGAGGAAUGGAAACUCAUUCUUGAAUGGAACACAUAACAAUGGAAUGCAGAAUAAAUUUUUUUUCUUGAAGAAUAAAACGUUAAAAAGAGAGUGAUUCUUAAAGAAUAGAAUGCACAAUUGAAGCUACUAUUUGAAGAACAUCAUGCAGAAUACCAGAAUAUUAAUUUAGAUCAGAAAGGUUAAUUUUCAAAAAUGUAAUUUGUAUUUUUAAAUUUUGAUUUGAAAAUUUAGUAGAAUUUGGUUUGUAUCCAUUAUAUAUGCA
Lactuca sativa (garden lettuce) is the source of this 451-nucleotide non-coding RNA. NCBI's taxonomy places the organism in Eukaryota, Viridiplantae, Streptophyta, Magnoliopsida, Asterales, Asteraceae. The record is from RefSeq and is a predicted model, not a curated record.